Molecule: long non-coding RNA, 1893 nt
Organism: Alligator mississippiensis (American alligator)
Lineage: Eukaryota; Metazoa; Chordata; Crocodylia; Alligatoridae
Exons: 4
Source: RefSeq, a predicted model, not a curated record
AUCUCCUGAGGUCCCUUCCAACUCUCAUUUUCUAUGAUUGUAUGAAAGUAGGGCUAUUUUAAUGUAUACUGGUGUGUGAUGAUCCCCUAAUGGGCUGUUAUGCUGGCCAGGGAAGCACCAGUCCAGUCACACUCGCUGUGCAGGGCUGUUCAGUCCGCUCUGUGCAUCACCAGGGCGCUGGAUCAUGAAGCAAGUGGAUCAGACAGGGCCACGGUGAGGAUUGUGUGCAGGUCCAGAGGGUCUACUGUGCAUUUUGUUCUGCCUGGUUAAGUUUGAAUAAGGAAGUCUAAGACCAUGUCUGUUAUGCAAAGGGGACAUGGGCAGCCUGACCAAACAGCCUAGAGCCAGAAGUUAGGGGAUCGGGAAUAGGCAGGUCGGGUCUGUAAUGGAGCAAGAUGUAGGUAGAUGGUCUCAGGGGGUAGAGCAAGCAGGAGGCUGGGGUCCAGAACCACGGCACUAGCCAGGGGUUGUGGAGCAAGCGGCCGUAGGGACCAGGAUGUGGGCCGUCACCAACCUAAGCCAUCGGUCAGAAGACAGGGGCCAGGAGCAAAUGGGCCCGGGCCGGAGUCUGGAAUAGAGGCAGCGGGGAUCGAGUCAGAAGGCAGCAAGCAGGACCUGGAAAACUAGGAGUCAGGAGCUGGAGGGGUGUUUGCUGGUCAGUGGAAGGACUGCUGGAGCCAUGCUGGUGCAGGUAAGGGGCCAGCUGGAAGCAGUUAGGCCAUUAGGAGCCAGGCUCACUCAGCUCAUCAAGUCCAGCUGGGGCUCAUCAGCCCAUCCGCUGCCCUAACUCCCAACAGCCGGGAGCAAGGGAAGCCAGAAGAAACCCACGUACUUACCAUCCCUCUUCUUGUCUCUCUGUCCACAAUGGUGAGGUAUUUCUUUCCCCCCAGUCUUAGGAUACCCUUGCAUUAGGAAAUGCGGGUUGGAAGGGACAGCACAUCUAGUGCAACCCCUGCUCCAAGCAGGACCAGCCCCAGCUACAUCAUCCCAGACGAGGCUUUGUCUCCAUCCUUGGAGGUUUUGAAGACUGGAGUAGACUGCACCACCUCUCUGGGAUGUCUGCGAUGUCCAUGCCGCUCUGCUCGGCAGGUCACUGGCCGUGUUCCCGGGGAAAGGCCAUCUUUGCCAGGUCCUGGACUUCACCGUCUCUGGCAUAGCUGGGUUGCUCGCUGGCCUUCUCUCCCUGUCAGAAGGAGAUUAAUACAGAGGCUGCCUCCUCCAGUCUUGCUAAUAAAUAUUCACUGAGACAUCCUACAGAGAGAUUUGAUCCUGAUUCUGGAAGCAUGCAUGCCAGCCUCACUGCGAACCGUGGGGAUUCGGGUCAGCAGAAGCAGUGCAUGGAGAGAGGUCCAAGUGCUGGCUGCGCUGCCUCCGAGCAAGGGGCUGGCAAGAUGGACAAAGGAUGGAGGAAACUGAGGCACAAAGAAAUCACCUACGAUUGCAGCGGGAGUCUGUGGCUCAGCCAGGAAGGAAACGGGGUCUCCUAAAUCCCAGGACAGCUCUUCGGCGAGACCAGCCCAGCGUGAUGAUCCUUCGUGCCCCAGCCACGUGGUAAGUCCGCAGGUGCCUGCUCUUUGAAUGGGUUCCUUGAAUUUUGCCGACAAAUCCAAGAGAAAAUAAGGAGAUGUGCAGUGGGAAGCAUUGGGAACCAAAGCGAGCUUUCUCCACUUGGCCUUGCAGCCUCCGCACGUGAGCUUCAACCCAGGUCAUCGGGGCGGGGUCUGAGGGCCCCGCAGUCCCUGGCUAGAGGGGUCUGAGGUGCAGAUGGAGUAGGCGCCCGUCUCUCCCAAGGCAGGCCCUGAACACAAGUGUACUUGUGCCAUCGUAUCAGUUCUUUGGUGCUGGCCAGCUUUGCCAUCAGUGGGUGCAGCAGGACAUUUUAAGCAUGGUUGA